UACGUAGGGGGCAAGCGUUGUCCGGAAUUAUUGGGCGUAAAGAGCGUGUAGGCGGCCAGAUAAGUCCGCUGUGAAAUCUCGAGGCUCAACUUCGAGCUGUCGGUGGAAACUAUCUGGCUAGAGUCCGGAAGAGGAGACUGGAAUUCCUGGUGUAGCAGUGAAAUGCGUAGAUAUCAGGAGGAACACCGAUGGCGAAGGCAGGUCUCUGGGCUGACACUGACGCUCAUGCACGAAAGCGUGGGGAGCAAACAGG
Molecule: ribosomal RNA, 253 nt
Filed under: uncultured bacterium
Lineage: Bacteria
Description: partial 16S ribosomal RNA
Rfam family: Bacterial small subunit ribosomal RNA
Source: RNAcentral